This is a long non-coding RNA of Girardinichthys multiradiatus, 1140 nucleotides long. RefSeq lists it as uncharacterized. Lineage: Eukaryota; Metazoa; Chordata; Actinopteri; Cyprinodontiformes; Goodeidae. The transcript is spliced from 6 exons. The record is from RefSeq and is a predicted model, not a curated record.
CGCUGAACAUCAUCACCACAAAGCAAGCAGUUAUUAAUUUCGUGUUUUUCUUUCAUCAUGCAAGUUAAAUUGUGUUUUUAUCCGAUGUUGUAAAAUGUAUGCCUUGUUAUAGUGUUUUGCACUUUAUUCCGGGCAAGAGGUGGGCACAUGACCAAUAUAUUCAUAGUUGGACAGUAUUUCCCAUCCCAUGCAUGAAGCUAGUAAAGACAUGGAGAGACACAGUCUUCACUAUAUUUGCCAGGUCAUCAUAAAGCUCCCACACACAUGGAGCUCUUCGGCAGUAUGCAAUGUAAUGUCCCAGACCAUCUUUAGUCAAGCUUCCCUUGAAAGCGAUGACUCCUCUCAAAGAGAAUGUCUUUCCUUGGAGAGCAACAGUGGGGGGAAAUUCACUCAAAGAAAACUGAGUUGUGUUUGCAAGUGGGCGAAGGCAGGGAGACUCCGGAAGGAAGAGUCCAUUUUCCACUGAAAUGUCAAGCUGAGCCAUGCCAGAGUCCAUCAGCACAGAAAUGUCAGGAGAAACAAAUGAUGGAUCUGCAUGGAGCCAUUCAGUGCAGGAAGUGAGAUAAGAAGUCCUCUUCCUUUUUUUGGGUGGAAGAAUUAGUCCCCUCCAGUUUUCAACCACGUCUUCAUCUGUUGGAGGAAUGUUUGUGGUUUCAUCGGAAUCUACAGAAUGAACAAAUCCGCAUAUUUCCUUCAAUAAAGGAAAGAUGACGAGAAAUAAAGCGAUCAACUCGAAUGGGUAAGUUCUCGUGUUUAAAAAGGCUAUGCUUUACAUUUUUGAAUUCUGCUUCAACAGUGGCUGAGCUUGCUGUGAGGUUGGUGCUUUUGAAGAGGGGGACCAUUACUCCUGUCCAAAGUGCCGCGUAGGUCAGUCUGGAUCUCGUCAAAAGAAUCCACUUGAUGCAUUUCAUUUGGAUCUUCAGCUGGAAUGAUGAUGGAGUCUUCUGUGAUCUGGGUUUUUAGAUAUUUUUUGCACAUCUCUGAUUCGAGAGGGACUCCAGAACUAUCAUCACCCUCUGCCUCACUGAGGGCCACAACAGUGAUGGCAUGUAUUAGCUGUUUUGCAUGGUCCAAGCACUGUGAUUGAAGAAGCUUUGCUAUUGCCCUGACAAAGAAAUCUUUGACACGGUGUGACUUGUU